UUCGCAAUGCCCGAAAGGGUGACGAAGCGACGCCGCGUGUGGGAAGAAGGCCUUCGGGUUGUAAACCACUGUCGGGAGUUAAGAAGUGUAGUGAUGUUAAUAGCAUCGCUACUUGACUAAGGCUCCGGAGGAAGCCACGGCUAACUCUGUGCCAGCAGCCGCGGUAAUACAGAGGCGGCAAGCGUUGUUCGGAAUUAUUGGGCGUAAAGAGCACGUAGGCGGCCGUGUAAGUCGGUUGUGAAAGCCUUCCGCUCAACGGAAGGACGGCAUCCGAUACUGCAUGGCUCGAGUGCGGGAGGGGAGAGUGGAACUUCUGGUGGAGCGGUGAAAUGCGUAGAUAUCAGAAGGAACACCGGCGGCGAAGGCGACUCUCUGGCCCGUAACUGACGCUGAGUGUGCGAAAGCUAGGGGAGCAAACGGGAUUAGAUACCCCGGUAGUCCUAGCCGUAAACGAUGGGCACUAAGUAGAGGGGUUUU
RNAcentral lists this ribosomal RNA (477 nucleotides) under uncultured anaerobic ammonium-oxidizing bacterium. Its description in RNAcentral is "bacterial SSU rRNA". It matches the Rfam family "Bacterial small subunit ribosomal RNA", at positions 365 to 832 of the family's 1533-position model. The record is from RNAcentral.